UACGAGUGCCCCAAGCGUUAUCCGGAAUUAUUGGGCGUAAAGGGUGUGUAGGUGGUCAUAUUAGUCUUCUGUUAAAGCUCUCGGCUCAACCGGGAACAUGCAGAGGAAACGGUAUGACUAGAGGACGUAAGAGGUAUGCGGAACUCAUGGUGUAGGGGUGAAAUCCGUUGAUAUCAUGGGGAACACCAAAAGCGAAGGCAGCAUACUGGUGCGUUCCUGACACUGAGACACGAAAGCGUGGGUAGCGAAUGGG
This 253-nucleotide ribosomal RNA is filed under the name uncultured bacterium. Its description in RNAcentral is "partial 16S ribosomal RNA". It matches the Rfam family "Bacterial small subunit ribosomal RNA", at positions 524 to 776 of the family's 1533-position model. The record is from RNAcentral.